ACACUCCUGCGGGAGGCAGCAGUGGGGAAUUUUGGACAAUGGGCGAAAGCCUGAUCCAGCAAUGCCGCGUGUGUGAAGAAGGCCUUCGGGUUGUAAAGCACUUUUGUCCGGAAAGAAAUCCUUGGCUCUAAUACAGUCGGGGGAUGACGGUACCGGAAGAAUAAGCACCGGCUAACUACGUGCCAGCAGCCGCGGUAAUACGUAGGGUGCGAGCGUUAAUCGGAAUUACUGGGCGUAAAGCGUGCGCAGGCGGUUUGCUAAGACCGAUGUGAAAUCCCCGGGCUCAACCUGGGAACUGCAUUGGUGACUGGCAGGCUAGAGUAUGGCAGAGGGGGGUAGAAUUCCACGUGUAGCAGUGAAAUGCGUAGAGAUGUGGAGGAAUACCGAUGGCGAAGGCAGCCCCCUGGGCCAAUACUGACGCUCAUGCACGAAAGCGUGGGGAGCAAACAGGAUUAGAAACCCGAGUAGUCCCAUGAU
This 477-nucleotide ribosomal RNA is filed under the name uncultured organism. Its description in RNAcentral is "partial 16S ribosomal RNA". It matches the Rfam family "Bacterial small subunit ribosomal RNA", at positions 333 to 801 of the family's 1533-position model. The record is from RNAcentral.